GAUGAACGAUGACAGAAAGCAUACCAAAGCAAGUAAACUAGAAAUAGGGUUUUUAAUUUAAGUUUGGGGACGGACGGGUGAGUAGCGCGUAAAGAACUAGCCUCACCAGAUAGGGACAACAUUGGAAAACGAAUGCUAAUACAUAAUAUUAUGAUAAUAGGGCAUCCUAUAAUUAUGAAAGCUAUAAGCGCUGUAAGAGAACUUUGCGUCCCAUAGCUAGUUAGAGAGGUAACGGCUCACCAAGGCGAUGAUGGGUAGCCGGCCUGGGAGGGUGAUCGGCCACAAGGGGACUGAGACACGGCCCUUACUCCUACGGGAGGCAGCAGUGGGGAAUAUUGGACAAUGGACCAAGAGUCUGAUCCAGCACUUCUGUGUGCACGAUGAAGUUUUUCGGAAUGUAAAGUGCUUUCAGUUGGGAAGAAAGAAAUGACGGUACCAACAGAAGAAGUGACGGCUAAAUACGUGCCAGCAGCCGCGGUAAUACGUAUGUCACGAGCGUUAUCCGGAUUUAUUGGGCGUAAAGCGCGUCUAGGUGGUUAUGUAAGUCUGAUGUGAAAAUGCAGGGCUCAACUCUGUAUUGCGUUGGAAACUGUAUAACUAGAGUACUGGAGAGGUAAGCGGAACUACAAGUGUAGAGGUGAAAUUCGUAGAUAUUUGUAGGAAUGCCGAUGGGGAAGCCAGCUUACUGGACAGAUACUGACGCUGAAGCGCGAAAGCGUGGGUAGCAAACAGG
Molecule: ribosomal RNA, 733 nt
Filed under: uncultured Fusobacterium sp.
Lineage: Bacteria; Fusobacteriati; Fusobacteriota; Fusobacteriia; Fusobacteriales; Fusobacteriaceae
Description: bacterial SSU rRNA
Rfam family: Bacterial small subunit ribosomal RNA
Source: RNAcentral